GGGGUGGUAGUUCAGCUGGUUUAGAACGCCUGCCUGUCACGCAGGAGGUCGCGAGUUCGAGUCUCGUCCAUCCCGCCA
RNAcentral lists this transfer RNA (78 nucleotides) under Opitutia bacterium. RNAcentral describes it as "tRNA-Asp". It matches the Rfam family "tRNA". From Rfam's summary of the family: Transfer RNA (tRNA) molecules are approximately 80 nucleotides in length. Their secondary structure includes four short double-helical elements and three loops (D, anti-codon, and T loops). Further hydrogen bonds mediate the characteristic L-shaped molecular structure. tRNAs have two regions of fundamental functional importance: the anti-codon, which is responsible for specific mRNA codon recognition, and the 3' end, to which the tRNAs corresponding amino acid is attached (by aminoacyl-tRNA synthetases). tRNAs cope with the degeneracy of the genetic code in two manners: having more than one tRNA (with a specific anti-codon) for a particular amino acid; and 'wobble' base-pairing, i.e. permitting non-standard base-pairing at the 3rd anti-codon position. Lineage: Bacteria; Pseudomonadati; Verrucomicrobiota; Opitutia. RNAcentral also lists the same sequence under 2 other names. The record is from RNAcentral.